RNAcentral lists this ribosomal RNA (421 nucleotides) under uncultured bacterium. RNAcentral describes it as "partial 16S ribosomal RNA". It matches the Rfam family "Bacterial small subunit ribosomal RNA", at positions 359 to 774 of the family's 1533-position model. The record is from RNAcentral.
UAUUUUCGGCAAUGGGGGCAACCCUGACCGAGCGACGCCGCGUGAGUGAAGCAGGUCUCCGCAUUGUAAAGCUCUGUUGUAAGGGAAGCACCGUACCAGUAGGGCAUUACUGGUACCUGACGGUACCUUACCAGCAAGCCUCGGCUAACUACGUGCCAGCAGCCGCGGUAAUACGUAGGUGGCAAGCGUUACUCGGAAUUAUUGGUCUUAAAAGGAGCGCAGGCGGCUUAUUGAGGCUGAGGUUAAAGUUGGGGGCUCAACCACGUGAUGACUAAGAAACUGGUAGGCUAGAGUGAAGGAGAGGUGAGUGGAAUUCCAUGUGUAGGGGGAAAAUGCGUAGAUAUAGGGAGGAACACCAGUGGCGAAGGCGGCUCACUGGCCUGUAACUGACGCUGAGGCUCGAAAGCGUGGGGAGCAAAUA